This 253-nucleotide ribosomal RNA is filed under the name uncultured bacterium. Its description in RNAcentral is "partial 16S ribosomal RNA". It matches the Rfam family "Bacterial small subunit ribosomal RNA", at positions 524 to 776 of the family's 1533-position model. The record is from RNAcentral.
UACAGAGGUCCCAAGCGUUGUUCGGAUUCACUGGGCGUAAAGGGUGCGUAGGCGGUUAGGUAAGUCUGAUGUGAAAUCUCUGGGCUCAACCCAGAAAAUGCAUCGGAUACUACUUAGCUAGAGGAAUGGAGGGGGGACUGGAAUUCUCGGUGUAGCAGUGAAAUGCGUAGAUAUCGAGAGGAACACCAGUGGCGAAGGCGAGUCCCUGGACAUUUCCUGACGCUGAGGCACGAAAGCUAGGGGAGCAAACAGG